This 253-nucleotide ribosomal RNA is filed under the name uncultured bacterium. RNAcentral describes it as "partial 16S ribosomal RNA". It matches the Rfam family "Bacterial small subunit ribosomal RNA", at positions 524 to 776 of the family's 1533-position model. The record is from RNAcentral.
UACGUAGGGUCCGAGCGUUGUCCGGAGUUACUGGGCGUGAAGCGCGCGCAGGCGGCUCGUCAAGUCUGGCGUGAAAGCCCCCGGCUCAACCGGGGAGGGUCGUCGGAGACUGGCGAGCUUGAGGGCGGUAGGGGCUGGUGGAAUUCCCGGUGUAGUGGUGAAAUGCGUAGAGAUCGGGAGGAACACCUGUGGCGAAGGCGGCCAGCUGGGCCGUCCCUGACGCUGAGGCGCGAAGGCGUGGGGAGCGAACGGG